RNAcentral lists this transfer RNA (65 nucleotides) under Musca domestica (house fly). It matches the Rfam family "tRNA". From Rfam's summary of the family: Transfer RNA (tRNA) molecules are approximately 80 nucleotides in length. The record is from Rfam by way of RNAcentral. Lineage: Eukaryota; Metazoa; Arthropoda; Insecta; Diptera; Muscidae.
GUUUUAAUGGUUUAAUAAAAACAUUGGUCUUGUAAACCAAAAAUAAGAUUGAUUCUUUUAAAACU